AAAACGUCAUUCUCUUCUUAAUUUGUUGCGAAUCUCCCCGAUAAAGUUUGGGUCAAUGGCCAUGAACUUUUUCUCACACGUUGUUUGAGUGAUUUGCGUCAAAAUCUUUUGACGCAAUUUCGAUCUGCCUCAGAAAAUAACCCUGGAUCAACCAAAGUUCCUCCUGAUUUACUACUUAUAAUCAUUUCCGUUCGUCCUAUAAGCCUUUCUUCCUAUUUUCGCAGGGUUUUAAUAGUCAGAAGAAUGAUGGGUUUACGAGAUCAAAGCUGCCGGAACCGUUGAUGGUGGUGGGCAAUGAGAAGGCAUUUGAUAUUUCCGAUGAGGAGGAAAACAAGCCGCCCAUUGCUUCUGCAGAAUGCCGUCUUUGCCAGGACAAGUGUCCUAUGAAGAAUCUCGAGAGCCCUCGUGCUUGUAGUGCCAGUGUGAAGAUCCGAUCCUGAAAUCGGACCCUUUGAAUGCUUAGAGAAACUGGAACAGAUUUCAGUGUAAAGUUUGAUUAAGAUACUGUAAAAUUAAAUGGCUUUCUGGGGUGGGUUUCAUGUUGGAAGAAGUCAAUGCGAAGAACAAGGAUGCUGAGUGGAGUCGUGUGUAGGAACUAGUCGUUAGUAGUCUUAUUCAAAUAAGGACCUGAUAUAUCGGUCAAAGUAGUUGCAGAAGAAGGUCUGUUUCUCUGCAGUAUUUUUAGGAGUUUUCUGUUGAUGUAAAGGCUAUAUAAUGCCAUCAUAUUUCAUUGAAUAAGAUACAA
This is a long non-coding RNA of Eutrema salsugineum, 745 nucleotides long. RefSeq lists it as uncharacterized. The transcript has 4 exons. The record is from RefSeq and is a predicted model, not a curated record. Lineage: Eukaryota; Viridiplantae; Streptophyta; Magnoliopsida; Brassicales; Brassicaceae.